ACACUCUUAGCUCAGUUGGAUAGAGCAUACGCCUUCUAAGCGUAGUGUCACUGGUUCAAGCCCAGUAGGGUGUA
RNAcentral lists this transfer RNA (74 nucleotides) under Caudoviricetes sp. Its description in RNAcentral is "tRNA-Arg". It matches the Rfam family "tRNA". From Rfam's summary of the family: Transfer RNA (tRNA) molecules are approximately 80 nucleotides in length. Their secondary structure includes four short double-helical elements and three loops (D, anti-codon, and T loops). The record is from RNAcentral. Lineage: Duplodnaviria; Heunggongvirae; Uroviricota; Caudoviricetes.